Molecule: ribosomal RNA, 253 nt
Filed under: uncultured bacterium
Lineage: Bacteria
Description: partial 16S ribosomal RNA
Rfam family: Bacterial small subunit ribosomal RNA
Source: RNAcentral
UACGAAGGGGGCUAGCGUUGUCCGGAAUCACUGGGCGUAAAGGGCGCGUAGGCGGCGGCCCAAGUCAACGGUGAAAGCUCGGCGCUCAACGCCGAGUCGGCCGUCGAUACUGGGCUGCUCGAGCACUGUAGAGGCAGAUGGAAUUCCGGGUGUAGCGGUGGAAUGCGUAGAGAUCGGGAAGAACAUCGGUGGCGAAGGCGGCCAGCUGGGCCGUUGCUGACGCUGAGGCGCGACAGCGUGGGGAGCAAACAGG